RNAcentral lists this small nucleolar RNA (68 nucleotides) under Vulpes vulpes (red fox). Its description in RNAcentral is "Small nucleolar RNA SNORD2 (ENSVVUG00000027986.1)". Lineage: Eukaryota; Metazoa; Chordata; Mammalia; Carnivora; Canidae. The record is from RNAcentral. RNAcentral also lists the same sequence under 1 other name.
UGGGCAAUUACCUCAACUGUCUUUGAGGACUGUACUGAAAGGAAGAGAAUACUCUUUGCUGAUCACCU